UUUACUUAAACCAUAGGGGCAAUAAUGAAAAUCACAGCCUGGGUCUACUAGCAUGGAUGCUGAAAGCCAGAUUGCAGAGACCCUUAAGCAUGCACCAGGCCUGGUUAGGAAAAAGGCUCAUCGAUCAAUUACCCCACAUAUACAAGAUGGUUCAAUGGACCUCUUCUCAUAAUUUUAAACCUGUGCCUUCCGCGCAUUCUCUCUCCCCGGACUGCCUGCCUGGUUUUGACUCGUGCCUGCUGAAUGGUUUCUGCGCUUGAUUUUUCCCCUUGGAUUUGUUUAUUUAUCGGACAGUUGAUGUCUACCUGACCUUCUCGUCUGCGCUUGCCUGUCCGUCGUGUUCUCCAGCCCGCCUCAUCGGACGGCCGAUAAUCUGUCUCAGCUUCUUUUAUUUUGUUUGGAAACGUUUUCAAAUGCCCUUUUUAUGCUUUUUUUUCUUUUGUAGUCUAUUAUA
This is a long non-coding RNA of Labeo rohita (rohu), 454 nucleotides long. RefSeq lists it as uncharacterized. NCBI's taxonomy places the organism in Eukaryota, Metazoa, Chordata, Actinopteri, Cypriniformes, Cyprinidae. The transcript is spliced from 3 exons. The record is from RefSeq and is a predicted model, not a curated record.